UACGUAGGGUGCAAGCGUUGUCCGGAAUUAUUGGGCGUAAAGAGCUCGUAGGCGGUUUGUCGCGUCUGCUGUGAAAACUCAGGGCUUAACCCCGAGCCUGCAGUGGGUACGGGCAGACUAGAGUGUGGUAGGGGAGAUCGGAAUUCCUGGUGUAGCGGUGGAAUGCGCAGAUAUCAGGAGGAACACCGGUGGCGAAGGCGGAUCUCUGGGCCAUAACUGACGCUGAGGAGCGAAAGCAUGGGGAGCGAACAGG
RNAcentral lists this ribosomal RNA (253 nucleotides) under uncultured bacterium. Its description in RNAcentral is "partial 16S ribosomal RNA". It matches the Rfam family "Bacterial small subunit ribosomal RNA", at positions 524 to 776 of the family's 1533-position model. The record is from RNAcentral.